UUGUUACAAAAUUUGGGAGGCACAUGGCGAUGUGGUACAGAGCUAGAUUUGUCCUCUACACGUUUCUGGAGGCUUCACACCCUUCAUAUGGAGCCUCCGACCACAUUCUAGUUUACGCCUCCGCAAUGGAUUAGUUUACUGAGAUGGGCGCAAAUAUACAGUACCAGUCAAAAGUUUGGACACACCUACUCAUAUUUAAGGUCGAGAGCCAUGCGUCCUCCGAAACACAACCCAACCAAGCAGCGCUGCUACUUGACACAAGGGCUACUUAACCCGGAAGCCAGCCGUACCAAUGUGUCGGAGGAAACACGCACAGUGGCGACCGUGUCAGCGUGCACUGCGCAUGGCCCGCAACAGGAGUCGCUAGUGCGCGAUGGGACAAGGACAUCCCUGCCUGCCAAACCCUCCCCUAACCCGGACGACGCUGGGCCAAUUGUGUGCCGCCCCAUGGGUCUCCCGGUCGCGGCCAGCUGCGACAGAGCCUGGACUCGAACCCAGAAUCUCUAGUGGCACUGCAAAUAAAACAAUCUCGGUCGACCAACAGCCAACUAAUCGAAUAAUUGGGGUCUGCCCCAGAUUUCGAUCACCCGAAGGAAGCGCAGAACCAUACCUCGUCAUGCUGAUCAGGGUGAAAUUCAAUGGUGAACGAAAAUAUGUGAAGAUCAUUGACCUGACACUUGAAAAUCUUUUGAUUGGAGUUUCAGAGGCAAAGCUGUGUGAUGGGUCUGGAACUGAAGUUGAUUAUAUUAUAUAUUAUAUUAUGAGGAGGUGGUGACACGGCCAGACCUUGGUGUUUUCAUGCUCACGCUGACCAAUGAUGCUAAAGAUGUCUCUGGCAGUACUGUGAUGGGUGGUUCAGACCAUGAGUCAGUUGAUACGAUCAUAUUGAGCGAGGAUGGAAGCCCCUCACGAAAGCGUCAAAGAUAUGAUGACGAAGCAAAACAUAGAGCAUACUGAAGAAAAAGCCUGGUGGAGAGGUUGUCAUCAAGGGAUACUCCAAAACUAAAAGCCUGACUGACUGCACCAGACUAAAGAUGAUCAACAUUCUUGUUUCGGCGAUGACGGCGACUCAUGGGACAUCACCACCGCGUGAGAGAAACAUUUGUACAAGGCAUCAUCUCCUUGUUCCUAUACCUGAAGGAUUCCUACACGACAAAUGGAUAUGAACAUUACUACGACCCUAAUAGUGGAGAAGGGUACCUCUCGUAUAGAAUCAAAACCAUUCAGAGGAAUUUGGCUUCAUCAGAGAAACGGCCCACUCAACUAUACUCUGGAGGGCCAACUGCUUAGAGGGAGUCCAGUCCAUCCACUUUGGCUACCCUGAGGGAAGACCAGUGCAGAGAGGCCAUUUAUCUUAUGAAGCAUUCUUCUGAUGAAGAAACAGUCAAACAGAAGAUGAAAUUGACCUUUGAGUACAGGAAGAUGACCUACGACCCGAGUAAAUGCUCCACCAUCCUAACCGAAUUUCCACGCUUUCUUGAUGUGAAGGGUUUGAUAUUGAACAUGAUUUUGUGCUGCUGUUUGGAGAGGGAACAUCAGUCAAGUUUUUGGAGAGGUGGCCAACUACAUUCAAGCAAAAGAUCAUCCUUCUAAGCAAAAACCUAAGCAAGGCAGAAUCUGCAGUUGAUGAGGGAGCUGAGGGAUGAGGGAGCUGACACGAAUGCUGAUGGUUACCGAAACACCACUUCAUGAUACAUUAUCCUCGUUGUAUGCGCUACGAGGCAAAACAUAAUUUCUUUAAAAAGCAACUGAAGAGUUUUAAGAAUUUCACUAUGACCUUAGCCAAGAAACAACAAAAUGACAUGGCAUAUAAUUGGGAAACGUUCAGCCAGGGUAGACUAGCUAUCAGCCAGGGUAGACUAGCUAUAGGUCCAGGAAAGAUGUCAAGGCUCAAUGACCUGAAUGAAAGCCAUGAGAUUGCUACCAAGUUGAAUGUCUCAGUGCACACAAAUGUUUUGUCAGUUAAAUGGGUUAAGCACCAUGGUACAGAAUAUCGUCUUGAUUUGGCCAUAUGUGGUGAAGUAGCCAUUGAAGUGCCAGUAUUUUACAAAAUGAAGGCUAUUGUUCUGAAAGAGGAAAAUGUUUUUUUGGUUAGGUCAGCUCUUGAAAUCUUAUGUUUUGUUGAUCAUUUGCAUGCAUUUGAAGUUGUUUUGAAGCCAAGUCCACCAUGCAAGGUAUUUCAUGUAAAUGACAUCAUGUACCACAAACCUUUUGAUUUGCUCAUGUCAAAUGGAGCAAGGGAUUGUUUUGACUACAUUAACAGUUUAAGCCAGGGCUGAUACUUAUGGUUAGGUUGUGAAAAACACGUUUGUUUUUAAUGUAAAUGUCAGCAUUUUCCAACAAACCUAUUGAUUUGCUCAUGUCAUAUGGAGCAAGGGAUUCUUUUGACUAGAUUCUACUCUCACUUGAUAACAGUUUCAACCAGGGCUGGGACUUAUGGUUUGGUCAUAAUGAACAUAUUUGAAUCUUGAAA
Oncorhynchus nerka (sockeye salmon) is the source of this 2473-nucleotide long non-coding RNA. RefSeq lists it as uncharacterized. The record is from RefSeq and is a predicted model, not a curated record. The transcript is spliced from 8 exons. NCBI's taxonomy places the organism in Eukaryota, Metazoa, Chordata, Actinopteri, Salmoniformes, Salmonidae.